Molecule: non-coding RNA, 47 nt
Organism: Schistosoma mansoni
Lineage: Eukaryota; Metazoa; Platyhelminthes; Trematoda; Strigeidida; Schistosomatidae
Source: Rfam
GCACUGCUGCGGAGUCCCACAAUAGGACGAAACGGCCGUUCCAGUGC